Molecule: ribosomal RNA, 1371 nt
Filed under: uncultured bacterium
Lineage: Bacteria
Description: bacterial SSU rRNA
Rfam family: Bacterial small subunit ribosomal RNA
Source: RNAcentral
GAUGAACGCUGGCGGCGUGCCUAAUACAUGCAAGUCGAGCGAACGGACGAGAAGCUUGCUUCUCUGAUGUUAGCGGCGGACGGGUGAGUAACACGUGGAUAACCUACCUAUAAGACUGGGAUAACUUCGGGAAACCGGAGCUAAUACCGGAUAAUAUUUUGAACCGCAUGGUUCAAAAGUGAAAGACGGUCUUGCUGUCACUUAUAGAUGGAUCCGCGCUGCAUUAGCUAGUUGGUAAGGUAACGGCUUACCAAGGCAACGAUGCAUAGCCGACCUGAGAGGGUGAUCGGCCACACUGGAACUGAGACACGGUCCAGACUCCUACGGGAGGCAGCAGUAGGGAAUCUUCCGCAAUGGGCGAAAGCCUGACGGAGCAACGCCGCGUGAGUGAUGAAGGUCUUCGGAUCGUAAAACUCUGUUAUUAGGGAAGAACAUAUGUGUAAGUAACUGUGCACAUCUUGACGGUACCUAAUCAGAAAGCCACGGCUAACUACGUGCCAGCAGCCGCGGUAAUACGUAGGUGGCAAGCGUUAUCCGGAAUUAUUGGGCGUAAAGCGCGCGUAGGCGGUUUUUUAAGUCUGAUGUGAAAGCCCACGGCUCUUCGUGGAGGGUCAUUGGAAACUGGAAAACUUGAGUGCAGAAGAGGAAAGUGGAAUUCCAUGUGUAGCGGUGAAAUGCGCAGAGAUAUGGAGGAACACCAGUGGCGAAGGCGACUUUCUGGUCUGUAACUGACGCUGAUGUGCGAAAGCGUGGGGAUCAAACAGGAUUAGAUACCCUGGUAGUCCACGCCGUAAACGAUGAGUGCUAAGUGUUAGGGGGUUUCCGCCCCUUAGUGCUGCAGCUAACGCAUUAAGCACUCCGCCUGGGGAGUACGACCGCAAGGUUGAAACUCAAAGGAAUUGACGGGGACCCGCACAAGCGGUGGAGCAUGUGGUUUAAUUCGAAGCAACGCGAAGAACCUUACCAAAUCUUGACAUCCUUUGACAACUCUAGAGAUAGAGCCUUCCCCUUCGGGGGACAAAGUGACAGGUGGUGCAUGGUUGUCGUCAGCUCGUGUCGUGAGAUGUUGGGUUAAGUCCCGCAACGAGCGCAACCCUUAAGCUUAGUUGCCAUCAUUAAGUUGGGCACUCUAAGUUGACUGCCGGUGACAAACCGGAGGAAGGUGGGGAUGACGUCAAAUCAUCAUGCCCCUUAUGAUUUGGGCUACACACGUGCUACAAUGGACAAUACAAAGGGCAGCGAAACCGCGAGGUCAAGCAAAUCCCAUAAAGUUAUUCUCAGUUCGGAUUGUAGUCUGCAACUCGACUACAUGAAGCUGGAAUCGCUAGUAAUCGUAGAUCAGCAUGCUACGGUGAAUACGUUCCCGGGUCU